Molecule: ribosomal RNA, 623 nt
Filed under: uncultured bacterium
Lineage: Bacteria
Description: bacterial SSU rRNA
Rfam family: Bacterial small subunit ribosomal RNA
Source: RNAcentral
GCUUAGAGUUUGAUCCUGGCUCAGAGCGAACGCUAGCGGCGGGCUUAACACAUGCAAGUCGAGCGCCCUUCGGGGAGCGGCGAACGGGUGAGUAACACGUAGGUCAUCUACCUCUCGGUGGGGAAUAGCCCGGGGAAACCCGGAUUAAUACCGCAUGAGGUCUUCGGAUCAAAGCCUUCGGGCGCCGGGAGAUGAGCCUGCGUCCCAUUACCUAGUAGGUAGGGUAACGGCCUACCUAGGGAGCGAUGGGUAGCUGGUCUGAGAGGAUGAUCAGCCACACUGGGACUGAGACACGGCCCAGACUCCUACGGGAGGCAGCAGUGGGGAAUAUUGCGCAAUGGGCGGAAGCCUGACGCAGCCACGCCGCGUGUGUGAUGAAGGCCCUCGGGUCGUAAAGCACUGUUUGGAGGGAAGAAGUUCUGACGGUACCUCCCAAGAAAGCACCGGCUAACUCCGUGCCAGCAGCCGCGGUAAUACGGAGGGUGCAAGCGUUGCUCGGAAUCACUGGGCGUAAAGGGUACGCAGGCGGCUUGUUAAGUCGGGUGUGAAAGCCCAGGGCUCAACCCUGGAAUUGCGCUCGAUACUGGCAAGCUUGAGUACGGGAGAGGGAUAGCGGAAUUCCU